This 1697-nucleotide ribosomal RNA is filed under the name Linhomoeidae sp. DeLaSp3Z. RNAcentral describes it as "SSU rRNA". It matches the Rfam family "Eukaryotic small subunit ribosomal RNA". The record is from RNAcentral. Lineage: Eukaryota; Metazoa; Nematoda; Chromadorea; Monhysterida; Linhomoeidae.
AUGUCUAAGCACAAGCCGAAAUACGGUGAAGCCGCGAAUAGCUCAUUACAACAGCCAUAGUCUACUUGAUCUUGACAUCCUACUUGGAUAACUGUGGUCAUUCCAGAGCUAAGACAUGCGAAAAGCUCUGAACCUUCGGGGGACGAGCGCGUUUAUUAGACCAAAACCAAUCGGUCCUCGGACCGCUUUUGGUGAAUCUGAAUAACUCAGCCGAUCGUACAGUCUUGUACUGACGACGGAUCAUUCGAGUGUCUGCCUUAUCAACUGUUGAUUGUAGUUUAUGUGACUACAAUGGUUGCAACGGGUAACGGAGAAUCAGGGUUCGACUCCGGAGAGGCAGCCUGAGAAACGGCUACCACAUCCAAGGAAGGCAGCAGGCGCGCAAAUUACCCACUUUCGGCACGAAGAGGUAGUGACGAGAAAUAACGAGGCGUCUCUCUUUGAGGGUCGCCAUCGGAAUGAGGACAAUGUAAACGACUUACCGAAUUCAAUCAGAGGGCAAGUCUGGUGCCAGCAGCCGCGGUAAUUCCAGCUCUGAAGGUGUAUACCACCGUUGUUGAGGUUAAAAAGCUCGUAGUUGGAUCUAAGCCCGUGAUGCCGGUUAGCACUUGCGUGUUACACUGGUGUCUGGGUCGAACAGUCGGUCGUCCCUUGGUGCCCUUCACCGGGUGCCCUGGGUGGCUGGCGAUUUUACUUUGAAAAAAAUUAGAGUGCUCAAAACAGGCGAUUGCCUGAAUAAUGGUGCAUGGAAUAAUGGAAUAGGAUCUUAGUCCUAUUUUGUUGGUUUUCGGGAGCCAAGAUAAUGAUUGAGAGGGACAGACGGAGGCAUUCGUAUUGCGUCGUUAGAGGUAAAAUUCUAGGAUCGAUGCAAGACGAACAAACUGCGAAGGCAUUUGCCGAGAAUGUUUUCAUUAAUCAAGGAACGGAAAGUUAGAGGUUCGAAGGCGAUUAGAUACCGCCCUAGUUCUAACCGUAAACGAUGCCAACUCGCGAUCCUGAGAUGUCAUUGCUGACGUUCGGGGGAGCGGCCCGGAAACGAAAGUUUUUCGGUUCCUGGGGAAGUAUGGUUGCAAAUCUGAAACUUAAAGGAAUUGACGGAAGGGCACCACCAGGAGUGGAGCCUGCGGCUUAAUUUGACUCAACACGGGAAAACUCACCAGGCCAAGACAGCGUCAUGAUUGACAGAUUGAGAGCUCUUUCUUGAUUCGUUGGGUGGUGGUGCAUGGCCGUUCUUAGUUGGUGGAUUGUUUUGUCUGGUUAAUUCCGAUAACGAACGAGACUCUGCCCUACUAAAUAGCAAGUGGAUCCUCUCUGUCCACAGUGCUUCUUAGAGGAACUGACAGCGUUCAGCUGUACGAAAUUGAGCAAUAACAGGUCUGUGAUGCCCUUAGAUGUCCUGGGCUGCACGCGCGCUACACUGAGCAGAUCAGCGUGCCCUACUCCUUGACCGAGAGGUCUAGGUAACCCAAUUCAUACUGCUCGUGAUUGGGACAGGAGAUUGCAAUUAUUCUCCUUGAACGAGGAAUUCCUAGUAUGUCCGAGUCAUCAGCUCGGGCAGAAUAUUGUCCCUGCCCUUUGUACACACCGCCCGUCGCUACCUGGAACUGAGCUGUUUCGAGAAAACUGGAGACUGAAGUUUGAUGGUUUCCGCUCUCUUUCAUUGGAAACCAGUUUAAUCGGUGUGGCUUGAACCGGGU